Molecule: non-coding RNA, 540 nt
Organism: Hydra vulgaris (swiftwater hydra)
Lineage: Eukaryota; Metazoa; Cnidaria; Hydrozoa; Anthoathecata; Hydridae
Source: RefSeq, a predicted model, not a curated record
UAAUUAAAUCAAACUUAAAUACGUUUUCAAGAUUCUUCCUUGCUACAACUAAAAGCAAAGCGACUGAUAAGUAAAUAAUAUCCGAAUUUCGAAUGCCAUUUUAAUUCAUGGAAGUUAAAAAGCUCUUUUCGCAACGAUCUACCUUCUUAAAUACCAACAAAACAAUAAACUUCAAUGUUUUAAAAAUUAUUGAUAGCCGCAUUGACACAGUAAAAAAUUAUGAGUUGCUGGUCUCUCUUUAUGAAUGUCUUGCUGCAAGAACUUUUUUUCAUGCAUUUUGGCUUAAUUUAGUUUACAUUUGCUAAAGAAUAUUAGUGGAACUGAGCUGGUUUCGAAAUCAGAUGAUCAGGAUAUGAAUGUAGAAGAUGAUGUUGCACAAGAACAGAUGCACGAUAAACAAGCGGUAGACGGUAUACUAGGAAGAUUUUUGGUAAUGCAUAAACCAGAGAAAACACUGAUCCAAAAUAUAUAUGUUUAUGAGUUUAUUAAUUUUACUAGUAAUCUUUAAUUUAAUCCUAAUGUAAACUUUUAUUUUCUGCU